This 72-nucleotide transfer RNA is filed under the name Candidatus Beckwithbacteria bacterium CG23_combo_of_CG06-09_8_20_14_all_47_9. Its description in RNAcentral is "tRNA-Thr". It matches the Rfam family "tRNA". Rfam says of the family: Transfer RNA (tRNA) molecules are approximately 80 nucleotides in length. RNAcentral also lists the same sequence under 2 other names. Lineage: Bacteria; Candidatus Beckwithiibacteriota. The record is from RNAcentral.
GCCUGGAUAGCUCAGCGGUAGAGCAGCUGUUUUGUAAACAGCAGGUCCGCGGUCCAAAUCCGCGUCCAGGCU